Molecule: non-coding RNA, 29 nt
Filed under: Mus musculus (house mouse)
Lineage: Eukaryota; Metazoa; Chordata; Mammalia; Rodentia; Muridae
Source: RNAcentral
UGCUCCAGCUCAUUGUGUAUCUGUUCUUU